Molecule: long non-coding RNA, 1128 nt
Organism: Pseudopipra pipra
Lineage: Eukaryota; Metazoa; Chordata; Aves; Passeriformes; Pipridae
Exons: 3
Source: RefSeq, a predicted model, not a curated record
UUCACCUGGCCUGGGACACCUUGGCAUCAGUUUGGGACUGAGCAGAAGUCUGGCUCUCAGAACACCACCCAGACACCUGUGGUAAAGCCCAAGACUUCUGCUCAUCAGGACAUCCUGUAAGGGACCGUUCAGAUGGAUGGAACAAAUUGCUUCCUUUCCUUAAUUUCGACAUCCACGGCCUAGUAGCCAGUUUCCUUAAUGGUGGCCUUCAAGGUUUGGUAGCAAAGACUCCAAGAUCAGCUCUAACCCAUCCCUACAUUGUUCAGCGACAAUGAUCCUAGUGGUGAAGGCAGCGAAAAUGCUACUUAAAAUUGGAGAGGUGGUGCUGCAUUGGUCCCCUUGUUGUACGAAAGGAAUCGCUGGAGCUUUGGGGACAAGAAGUGCCAACGGCCACGACAACUGUACACAGGCAACAGUAUCGGAGGAACCGAGAUGCUGUGACCCCCAUCCAUCCAUCCAGUACAUCCAUGACAUCAUUGUGUGGGGGGACACAGCAGAAGAAGUUUUCGAGAAAGGACAGAAGAUCAUCCAGAUUCUCCUCGAGGCUGGUUUUGCCAUCAAGAAGAGUAAGGUCAAGGGCCCUGCCCAAGAGAUCCAGUUCCUAGGGCUGAAAUGGCAAAUGGACGACACCAGAUACCAACAGACGUCAUCAACAAGAUUGUAGCCAUGGCUCCACCCACAAACAAGAAAGAAACCCAAGGUUUUCUGGGAGCCAUUGGCUUCUGGAGGAUGCACAUCCCAGAGUACAGCCAGAUGGUGAGCCCUCUUUACUUUGUGACCUGUGAAAAGAACAAUUUCCAGUGGGGUCCUGAACAACAACAAGCUUUCAGGCAGAUCAAGCAAGAGAUUGCACAUGCCGUGGCUCUUGGAGCAGUCAGGACAGGACCAGAGGUAAAGAAUGUGCUCUACUCUGCAGCUGGAGAUAAAGGUCCCUCCUGGAGCCUCUGGCCAAAGGUGCCUGGUGAGACGUGAGGGCGACCACUGGGUUUCUGGAGCCGAAGCUACAGAGGUUCUGAGGCCAAUUCCACCCCUGUGGAGAAGGAAAUCUUAGCAGCCUAUGAAGGCAUACGAGCAGCUUCAGAGCUUUCAGAUUCAGCAAUGUCCUCACUCCUGACAGACCAGGGUCCC